AUCCCAGUGGCAAGGUGCAUCCUGAAAUCAUCAAUGAGAAUGGAAACCCCAGCUACAAGUAUUUUUAUGUCAGUGCCGAGCAAGUUGUUCAGGGGAUGAAGGAAGCUCAGGAAAGGCUGACGGGUGAUGCCUUCAGAAAGAAACAUCUUGAAGAUGAAUUGUAACAUGAAUAAUUGUGGGCUUCUUCCCAAAUUUCUACAGCCUCUUUCCUCUUCUCAUGCUUGAGCUUCCCUGUUUGCACGCAUGCGUGUGCAGGACUGGCUGUGUGCUUGGACUCGGCUCCAGGUGGAAGCAUGCUUUCCCUUGUUACUGUUGGAGAAACUCAAACCUUCAAGCCCUAGGUGUAGCCAUUUUGUCAAGUCAUCAACUGUAUUUUUGUACUGGCAUUAACAAAAAAAGAGAUAAAAUAUUGUACCAUUAAACUUUAAUAAAACUUUAAAAGGAAA
Molecule: long non-coding RNA, 446 nt
Filed under: Homo sapiens (human)
Lineage: Eukaryota; Metazoa; Chordata; Mammalia; Primates; Hominidae
Description: non-protein coding lnc-TXNDC12-1:2
Source: RNAcentral